RNAcentral lists this ribosomal RNA (495 nucleotides) under uncultured bacterium. Its description in RNAcentral is "bacterial SSU rRNA". It matches the Rfam family "Bacterial small subunit ribosomal RNA", at positions 17 to 518 of the family's 1533-position model. The record is from RNAcentral.
UUCUGGCUCAGGAUGAACGCUAGCUACAGGCUUAACACAUGCAAGUCGAGCGGAACAGCUUCGGCUGUUAGCGGCAGACGGGUGAGUAACACGUAUCCAACCUGUCCCUUACUCGGGUAUAGCCUCGGGAAACUGAGAGUAAUCCCCGAUGAAGUGUACGGAGAGCAUUUUUUGCACACCAAAGAUUAAUCGGUGAGGGUUGGGGAUGCGUUCCAUUAGGUAGUAGGCGGGGCAACGGCCCACCUAGCCGAUGAUGGAUAGGGGUUCUGAGAGGAAGGUCCCCCACAUUGGAACUGCGACACGGUCCAAACUCCUACGGGAGGCAGCAGUGAGGAAUAUUGGUCAAUGGGCGAGAGCCUGAACCAGCCAAGUAGCGUGCAGGAUGACGGCCCUAUGGGUUGUAAACUGCUUUUGUGCGGGAAUAACGGUCUUUACGUGUAGAGAUGUGCAUGUACCGUACGAAUAAGGAUCGGCUAACUCCGUGCCAGCAGCUGC